AUUGAACGCUGGCGGCAUGCCUUACACAUGCAAGUCGAACGGCAGCGGGGGAGAAGCUUGCUUUUCCUGCCGGCGAGUGGCGAACGGGUGAGUAAUACAUCGGAACGUGCCCUGUAGUGGGGGAUAACUAGUCGAAAGAUUAGCUAAUACCGCAUACGACCUGAGGGUGAAAGUGGGGGACCGCAAGGCCUCAUGCUAUAGGAGCGGCCGAUGUCUGAUUAGCUAGUUGGUGGGGUAAAGGCCUACCAAGGCGACGAUCAGUAGCUGGUCUGAGAGGACGAUCAGCCACACUGGGACUGAGACACGGCCCAGACUCCUACGGGAGGCAGCAGUGGUGAAUUUUGGACAAUGGGCGAAAGCCUGAUCCAGCAAUGCCGCGUGUGUGAAGAAGGCCUUCGGGUUGUAAAGCACUUUUGUCCGGAAAGAAAUGGCUCUGGUUAAUACCUGGGGUCGAUGACGGUACCGGAAGAAUAAGGACCGGCUAACUACGUGCCAGCAGCCGCAGUAA
Molecule: ribosomal RNA, 508 nt
Filed under: uncultured bacterium
Lineage: Bacteria
Description: partial 16S ribosomal RNA
Rfam family: Bacterial small subunit ribosomal RNA
Source: RNAcentral